RNAcentral lists this ribosomal RNA (468 nucleotides) under uncultured bacterium. RNAcentral describes it as "partial 16S ribosomal RNA". It matches the Rfam family "Bacterial small subunit ribosomal RNA", at positions 28 to 507 of the family's 1533-position model. The record is from RNAcentral.
GACGAACGCUGGCGGCGUGCUUAACACAUGCAAGUCGAACGGACAGGCGCGGCUUUUGUGGCGUGCUCGAGUGGCGAACGGGUGAGUAACACGUGAGUAACCUGCCCUUGACUGUGGGAUAACUUCUGGAAACUGGGGCUAAUACCGGAUAGGAUCUCCUGAUGCAUGGUGGGGGUUGGAAAGUUUCGGCUGUUGUGGAUGGACUGGCGGCUUAUCAGCUUGUUUGUGGGGUAGUGGCUUACCAAGGCUUUGACGGGUAGGCGGCCUGGGAGGGUGACCGGCCACAUUGGGACUGCGAUACGGCCCAGACGCGUACGGGAGGCAGCAGUGGGGAAUAUUGCAGAAUGGGCGGACGCCUGAUGCAGCAACGUCGCGUGCGGGAUGACGGCCUUUGGGGUGUAAACCGCUUUCGACGGUGACGAAGAGUUAGUGACGGUAACUGGUCAAGAAGCAACGGCUAACUACGUG